RNAcentral lists this ribosomal RNA (499 nucleotides) under uncultured Campylobacterota bacterium. RNAcentral's name for it is "bacterial SSU rRNA". It matches the Rfam family "Bacterial small subunit ribosomal RNA", at positions 9 to 526 of the family's 1533-position model. The record is from RNAcentral. Lineage: Bacteria; Pseudomonadati; Campylobacterota.
GAGUUUGAUCAUGGCUCAGAGUGAACGCUGGCGGCGUGCUUAACACAUGCAAGUCGAACGAUUAAGCUCUAGCUUGCUAGAGUGGAUUAGUGGCGCACGGGUGAGUAAUGUAUAGCUAAUGUGCCCCUUAGAGGGGGAUAACAGUUGGAAACGACUGCUAAUACCCCAUACUCCUUCUUCCUAUAAGGGAAGUUGGGAAAGUUUUUUCGCUAAGGGAUCGGGCUAUAUGGUAUCAGCUUGUUGGUGAGGUAAUGGCUCACCAAGGCUAUGACGCCUAUCUGGUCUGAGAGGAUGAUCAGACACACUGGAACUGAGACACGGUCCAGACUCCUACGGGAGGCAGCAGUGGGGAAUAUUACACAAUGGAGGAAACUCUGAUGUAGCAACGCCGCGUGGAGGAUGACACAUUUCGGUGCGUAAACUCCUUUUAUAUGGGAAGAUAACGACGGUACCAUAUGAAUAAGCACCGGCUAACUCCGUGCCAGCAGCCGCGGUAUAC